AUGUUAGGAUCGGCUGGCUCAUCCUCAUCAUCCGAAAAGAAAACAGAGACAAAACAGAUUUGUUUCAAUGAAAUAUCUAAUCAGACUGAAAUUGAUGUCGAAGACACGAUCAUUCACAUCAAUUGAAGCAGGCAGGAAGGGCGCAGAAGCUACCGUUUAACGAAUGCAAUGCAAGCAAGGUAG
RNAcentral lists this ribosomal RNA (183 nucleotides) under Triticum aestivum (bread wheat). Its description in RNAcentral is "partial small subunit ribosomal RNA". The record is from RNAcentral. Lineage: Eukaryota; Viridiplantae; Streptophyta; Magnoliopsida; Poales; Poaceae.